GACGAACGCUGGCGGCGUGCUUAACACAUGCAAGUCGAACGGAAAGGCCCCUUUGGGGGUACUCGAGCGGCGAACGGGUGCGUAACACGUGAGUAACCUGCCCUUGACUUCGGGAUAACUUCAGGAAACUGGGGCUAAUACCGGAUAGGAAUCCUUGCUGCAUGGUGGGGGUUGGAAAGCUUCGGCGGUUUUGGAUGGACUCGCGGCUUAUCAGCUUGUUGGUGGGGUAGUGGCUUACCAAGGCUUUGACGGGUAGCCGGCCUGAGAGGGCGACCGGCCACAUUGGGACUGAGAUACGGCCCAGGCUCCGACGGGAGGCAGCAGUGGGGAAUAUUGCACAAUGGGCGGAAGCCUGAUGCAGCAACGCCGCGUGCGGGAUGACGGCCUUCGGGUUGUAGACCGCUUUCAGCAGGGGCGAAGCUUGUGGUGACGGUACCUGCAGAAGAAGCACCGGCUAACUACGUG
Molecule: ribosomal RNA, 465 nt
Filed under: uncultured bacterium
Lineage: Bacteria
Description: partial 16S ribosomal RNA
Rfam family: Bacterial small subunit ribosomal RNA
Source: RNAcentral